This 345-nucleotide unclassified non-coding RNA is filed under the name soil metagenome. RNAcentral describes it as "partial contains 5.8S ribosomal RNA, internal transcribed spacer 2, and large subunit ribosomal RNA". The stretch from base 1 to 120 matches the Rfam family "5.8S ribosomal RNA", at positions 35 to 154 of the family's 154-position model. The record is from RNAcentral.
GAUGAAGAACGUAGCGAAAUGCGAUACGUAAUGUGAAUUGCAGAAUUCAGUGAAUCAUCGAGUCUUUGAACGCACAUUGCGCCCUCUGGUAUUCCGGAGGGCAUGCCUGUCCGAGCGUCAUUGCUGCCCUCAAGCACGGCUUGUGUGUUGGGCCCCGCCCCCCGAUCCCGGGGGGCGGGCCCGAAAGGCAGCGGCGGCACCGCGUCCGGUCCUCGAGCGUAUGGGGCUUUGUCACCCGCUCUGUAGGCCCGGCCGGCGCCUGCCGAUCAACCAAACUUUUUUCCAGGUUGACCUCGGAUCAGGUAGGGAUACCCGCUGAGUUUAAGCAUAUCAAUAAGCGGAGGA